This 253-nucleotide ribosomal RNA is filed under the name uncultured bacterium. RNAcentral's name for it is "partial 16S ribosomal RNA". It matches the Rfam family "Bacterial small subunit ribosomal RNA", at positions 524 to 776 of the family's 1533-position model. The record is from RNAcentral.
UACGUAGGGGGCAAGCGUUGUCCGGAAUUAUCGGGCGUAAAGAGCGUGUAGGCGGUCCGGUAAGUCAGCUGUGAAAGUCAAGGGCUCAACCCUUGAAAGCCGGUUGAUACUGUCGGGCUAGAGUCCGGAAGAGGCGAGUGGAAUUCCCGGUGUAGCGGUGAAAUGCGCAGAUAUCGGGAGGAACACCAAUGGCGAAGGCAGCUCGCUGGGACGGUACUGACGCUGAGACGCGAAAGCGUGGGGAGCAAACAGG